This 1031-nucleotide ribosomal RNA is filed under the name Ophioceras chiangdaoense. Its description in RNAcentral is "SSU rRNA". It matches the Rfam family "Eukaryotic small subunit ribosomal RNA", at positions 57 to 1099 of the family's 1831-position model. Lineage: Eukaryota; Fungi; Ascomycota; Sordariomycetes; Magnaporthales; Ophioceraceae. The record is from RNAcentral.
GUCUAAGUAUAAGCAAUUAUACGGCGAAACUGCGAAUGGCUCAUUAAAUCAGUUAUCGUUUAUUUGAUAGUACCUUACUACUUGGAUAACCGUGGUAAUUCUAGAGCUAAUACAUGCUAAAAACCCCGACUUCGGGAGGGGUGUAUUUAUUAGAUUAAAAACCGACGCCCUUCGGGGCUCCUUGGUGAUUCAUGAUAACUUCUCGGAUCGCACGGCCUUGCGCCGGCGACGGUUCAUUCAAAUUUCUGCCCUAUCAACUUUCGACGGCUGGGUAUUGGCCAGCCGUGGUGACAACGGGUAACGGAGGGUUAGGGCUCGACCCCGGAGAAAACGCCUGAGAAACGGCGUUUACAUCCAAGGAAGGCAGCAGGCGCGCAAAUUACCCAAUGCCGACACGGCGAGGUAGUGACGAUAAAUACUGGUACGGGGCUCUUUCGGGUCUCGUAACUGGAAUGAGUACAAUUUAAAUCCCUUAACGAGGAACAAUUGGAGGGCAAGUCUGGUGCCAGCAGCCGCGGUAAUUCCAGCUCCAAUAGCGUAUAUUAACAUUGCUGAGGUUAAAAAGCUCGUAGUUGAACCUUGGGCCUGGCUGGCCGGUCCGCCUCACCGCGUGCACUGGUCCGGCCGGGCCUUUCCCUCCGGGGAUCCCCAUGCCCUUCACUGGGCGUGGCGGGGAACCGGGACUUUUACUUUGAAAAAAUUAGAGUGUUCAAAGCAGGCCUAUGCUCGAAUACAUUAGCAUGGAAUAAUAGAAUAGGACGCGCGGUUCUAUUUUGUUGGUUUCUAGGACCGCCGUAAUGAUUAAUAGGGACAGUCGGGGGCGUCAGUAUUCAAUUGUCAGAGGUGAAAUUCUUGGAUUUAUUGAAGACUAACUACUGCGAAGGCAUUCGCCAAGGAUGUUUUCAUUAAUCAGGAACGAAAGUUAGGGGAUCGAAGACGAUCAGAUACCGUCGUAGUCUUAACCGUAAACUAUGCCUGUUAGGGAUCGGACGGUGUUAUUUUGUGACCCGUCCGGCACCUUACACGAAAGU